This 415-nucleotide unclassified non-coding RNA is filed under the name soil metagenome. RNAcentral describes it as "partial contains 5.8S ribosomal RNA, internal transcribed spacer 2, and large subunit ribosomal RNA". The stretch from base 1 to 120 matches the Rfam family "5.8S ribosomal RNA", at positions 35 to 154 of the family's 154-position model. The record is from RNAcentral.
GAUGAAGAACGCAGCGAAAUGCGAUAAGUAAUGUGAAUUGCAGAAUUCAGUGAAUCAUCGAAUCUUUGAACGCACCUUGCACUCCUUGGUAUUCCGAGGAGUACGCCUGUUCGAGUGUUAUGAAGCUCUCAAAACGCAAUUGGCUUAAAACCUGAUUGUUGUUUUGGAUUUGAACUUUGCCGUGUUAUAACGGCUGGUUUUAAAAGUAUUAGCUGGUACUAGAACGAAUUGGUUCUACUCAACGUGAUAAUUAUCUGAUCGUUGAGGACAUUCCUUUCACGAGGAAUGGCCAUAGUAAAUUCAAUGGACUGCUUCUAAUCUGGCUUUAAUUCUUUAUUGGAUUAACCACUUUUCAAAUCUGACCUCGAAUCAGGUGGGACUACCCGCUGAACUUAAGCAUAUCAAAAGCGGAGGA